RNAcentral lists this ribosomal RNA (387 nucleotides) under uncultured Helicobacter sp. RNAcentral's name for it is "bacterial SSU rRNA". It matches the Rfam family "Bacterial small subunit ribosomal RNA", at positions 75 to 495 of the family's 1533-position model. The record is from RNAcentral. Lineage: Bacteria; Pseudomonadati; Campylobacterota; Epsilonproteobacteria; Campylobacterales; Helicobacteraceae.
CUAGCUUGCUAGGUGGAUUAGUGGCGCACGGGUGAGUAACGCAUAGAUGACAUGCCCUUUAGUUUGGGAUAGCCACUAGAAAUGGUGAUUAAUACCAAAUACUACCCUACGGGGGAAAGAUUUAUCGCUAAAGGAUUGGUCUAUGUCCUAUCAGCUUGUUGGUGAGGUAAAGGCUCACCAAGGCGAUGACGGGUAUCCGGCCUGAGAGGGUGAACGGACACACUGGAACUGAGACACGGUCCAGACUCCUACGGGAGGCAGCAGUAGGGAAUAUUGCUCAAUGGGCGCAAGCCUGAAGCAGCAACGCCGCGUGGAGGAUGAAGGUUUUAGGAUUGUAAACUCCUUUUGUCAGAGAAGAUAAUGACGGUAUCUCACGAAUAAGCACAA